GAAAAAGGUGGGAGCAAGAAGAAGCCAGGCCCUACCGGAGGCAUUAAAAAGCCAAAAGGGAAAGGCAAGUGCUUCAAGUGUCAGAAAACUGGACAUUGGAAAUCCGACUGUCCCAUGAUGAAGAAAGCUCAAGGGGUUCCUGCGGACAAGGGAGCUUAGUGGAGGCGAGCUGUCACUCUCCAUGGGAAAUGAAGCAAGCUUACCCGUUGUUUCAAUUGGAGAUGUGAAUUUAUUAAUUGAUAAACAUGUUUUGUUUUUAAGAGAUGUACUCUAUGUUCCGGGUUUUCGGAAAAACUUGAUUUCUACCAUUCAAUUACGAAAGUAUGGAUAUUCUGUUCUUUUAGAAGACAGUGCAGUAUUCAUUAAAGAUGGUCAAGUUUUAUUUAGAAGUGCGGCUGAUUCUCUUUA
Molecule: long non-coding RNA, 408 nt
Organism: Salvia miltiorrhiza (redroot sage)
Lineage: Eukaryota; Viridiplantae; Streptophyta; Magnoliopsida; Lamiales; Lamiaceae
Exons: 2
Source: RefSeq, a predicted model, not a curated record